CCCCUCUCAGGGUCGCACCUGGAGAGUUUCCAGUCCUCUACCAGUCUCGACUACGGGAGGGAGAGUCCAGCAGAGGCCAACCCAUUCCAUUCCUAGCUUGCCCAGUGGUUAGCGAGUGGAAGGCAAUCGGCGACAAGU
Ornithorhynchus anatinus (platypus) is the source of this 138-nucleotide small nucleolar RNA. NCBI's taxonomy places the organism in Eukaryota, Metazoa, Chordata, Mammalia, Monotremata, Ornithorhynchidae. The record is from RefSeq and is a predicted model, not a curated record.